Molecule: ribosomal RNA, 253 nt
Filed under: uncultured bacterium
Lineage: Bacteria
Description: partial 16S ribosomal RNA
Rfam family: Bacterial small subunit ribosomal RNA
Source: RNAcentral
UACGAGGGGGGCAAGCGUUGUUCGGAAUUAUUGGGCGUAAAGGGCGCGUAGGCGGUGCGGUAAGUCACCUGUGAAACCUCUAGGCUCAACCUAGAGCCUGCAGGCGAAACUGCCGUGCUUGAGGGUGGGAGAGGUGCGUGGAAUUCCCGGUGUAGCGGUGAAAUGCGUAGAUAUCUGGAGGAACACCGGUGGCGAAGGCGGCAUCCUGGACCGGCAUUGACGCUGAGGCGCGAAAGCUAGGGGAGCAAACGGG